Long non-coding RNA from Drosophila nasuta, 284 nucleotides. RefSeq lists it as uncharacterized. The transcript is spliced from 3 exons. Lineage: Eukaryota; Metazoa; Arthropoda; Insecta; Diptera; Drosophilidae. The record is from RefSeq and is a predicted model, not a curated record.
AUAAAUUUCUACCACUGAGAUGAUGAACCUAUUCAGUUGAGCGGCAGUGCAGCGGGAGACAUAGCUGUUAAUGUUAAUUUUAAGAAUUUGGUUAUCUGGAAUUGGAUAUGAAUGUAACAGGCAGAAGGAGGCAUCCCCAACCUAUCUGUCCGUAUGAUUUCAGAGACUAAUAAAAUAAGUUUGGAACCCUUCAUGGAGGAUUUGGAGUGCAAACGCUCAUAGUUACUUGAAUGGACCGACACACGACAUUUCCUAGUCCAAUUUUUUCAGGCUUCAGGUUUCAA